CUUUUAAAGGAUCAAAGUUAAUCC
Molecule: transfer RNA, 24 nt
Filed under: Egernia stokesii
Lineage: Eukaryota; Metazoa; Chordata; Lepidosauria; Squamata; Scincidae
Description: partial tRNA-Leu
Source: RNAcentral